This 660-nucleotide long non-coding RNA is filed under the name Homo sapiens (human). RNAcentral describes it as "HSALNT0094300". Lineage: Eukaryota; Metazoa; Chordata; Mammalia; Primates; Hominidae. The record is from RNAcentral.
UAUUUUCCCCUAGAUCUGUAGUUCUAGCCAGGUCAGGGCCAGAGGGAUAUAAUGGAAACAGCUUGCUUUCCUGCUUCAGAGUCACCUUCAGGGUGAAGUAGACAUAUGCUUGCAUAAAUCACUGGUUGCUAAAUAAAUUGGAUACAUUGAAAGAAAUUCAUCUUACCAAGAGGUAGAGAAUAUUUCUCUUCCCUGUGAACCUGGGGUUGGUCUUGUGACUAGGUGUGACCAAUAGAGUAUUAGCAAACAUGACAUGGGCAGAGGAGUAAAAAGUGCCUGUGGAUUGGCUUUUCUCCUCUUUUGGGGCUGAGAUGAUUUCUGCUACCAUGUGACUAAGUCUGGACUAGCCUUCUGAGGGUUGAGAGACCACAGGAAGAGAGAUCAGCCAUCCUGGCCAUCUCAGCUGAAAUCCCAUGGACCAAGUAAAAUAUGUGGAAAACAAGACAUGAGUCAGCCAUUCUAGACCAAGCCAGCACAGAAUGGAAGAAAUGCCAAGUCGACUCACAGAAUUGGGACUCUAAUAAUUGAUAAGGAAAGUAUCUGACAUUAUUGCUCCUGCUGACCCCUUGGUGUCCCAGCCUAGGAAAGGCAAGAAGCUACAAGGUCAGUCAUGGGCAGGGUCAGCUGUGAACACAGAAAUGAAAGGUAGGAGAUGUGAGA